Molecule: ribosomal RNA, 403 nt
Filed under: uncultured bacterium
Lineage: Bacteria
Description: partial 16S ribosomal RNA
Rfam family: Bacterial small subunit ribosomal RNA
Source: RNAcentral
AUUGAACGCUGGCGGCAGGCCUAACACAUGCAAGUCGAGCGAGCGGGGGACGGGUGAGUAUUGUGUGGGGAAUGCCCGAUAGAGGGGGGUAACUACUGGAAACGGUAGCUAAUACCGCCUACUAUCUGAUAACACAUAUGGGAUUAGCUAGUAGGUGUGGUAGAGGCUCACAUAGGCGACGAUCCGUAGCUGCACUGAGAGGAUGAUCAGCACAACUGGGACUGAGACACGGUCCAGACUCCUCCGGAGGCAGAAGUGGGGAACAUUGCACAAUGGGCGCAAGCCUGAUGCAGCAAUGCCGCGUGUAUGAAGAAGGCAUUAGGGUUGUAAAGUACUUUCAGUCGGGAGGCGUUACCGGAAGAAGAAGCAACGGCUAACUCCGUGCCAGCAGCCGCGGUAAUAC